Fomitopsis serialis is the source of this 91-nucleotide non-coding RNA. The record is from the annotation of a RefSeq genome assembly. NCBI's taxonomy places the organism in Eukaryota, Fungi, Basidiomycota, Agaricomycetes, Polyporales, Fomitopsidaceae.
GGCUCUGUAGUGUAGUGGUUAUCACAGCGGAUUCUGAUAUCCAUGGAUCAAUGUCAUUCCGCUAACCGAGGUUCGAGUCCUCGCUGGGCCU